Molecule: ribosomal RNA, 688 nt
Filed under: bacterium TN196B
Lineage: Bacteria
Description: bacterial SSU rRNA
Rfam family: Bacterial small subunit ribosomal RNA
Source: RNAcentral
UUCCACGUUUUCCGCGCCGUAGCUAACGCAUUAAGUGCCCCGCCUGGGGAGUACGGCCGCAAGGCUAAAACUCAAAGGAAUUGACGGGGGCCCGCACAAGCGGCGGAGCAUGCGGAUUAAUUCGAUGCAACGCGAAGAACCUUACCAAGGCUUGACAUGAACCGGAAAGACCUGGAAACAGGUGCCCCGCUUGCGGUCGGUUUACAGGUGGUGCAUGGUUGUCGUCAGCUCGUGUCGUGAGAUGUUGGGUUAAGUCCCGCAACGAGCGCAACCCUCGUUCUAUGUUGCCAGCGCGUUAUGGCGGGGACUCAUAGGAGACUGCCGGGGUCAACUCGGAGGAAGGUGGGGACGACGUCAAAUCAUCAUGCCCCUUAUGUCUUGGGCUUCACGCAUGCUACAAUGGCCGGUACAAAGGGUUGCGAUACUGUGAGGUGGAGCUAAUCCCAAAAAGCCGGUCUCAGUUCGGAUUGGGGUCUGCAACUCGACCCCAUGAAGUCGGAGUCGCUAGUAAUCGCAGAUCAGCAACGCUGCGGUGAAUACGUUCCCGGGCCUUGUACACACCGCCCGUCAAGUCACGAAAGUUGGUAACACCCGAAGCCGGUGGCCUAACCCUUGUGGGGGGAGCCGUCGAAGGUGGGACCGGCGAUUGGGACUAAGUCGUAACAAGGUAGCCGUACCGGAAGGUGCG